AACGAACGCUGGCGGCAUGCCUAACACAUGCAAGUCGAACGAUACCUUCGGGUCGAUUGGCGCACGGCUGCGUAACGCGUGGGAACCUGCCAUUAGGUUCGGAAUAACUCCCCGAAAGGGGUGCUAAUACCGGAUAAUGUCUUCGGACCAAAGAUUUAUCGCCUUUGGAUGGGCCCGCGUUGGAUGAGCUAGUUGGUAGGGUAAAAGCCUACCAAGGCGACGAUCCAUAGCUGGGCAGAGAGGAAGAUCAGCCACACUGGGGCUGAGACGCGGUCCGGACUCUUGCGGGAGGGAGGAGUGGGGGAUACAGGAAAGAGGGCGGAAGGAUGAAGCAGCACUGCCGCGUGAGUGAUGAAGGCGGUAGGGUAGUAAAGCUAGUUUACCCGGGAUGAUAAUGACAGUACCGGGAGAAUAAGCACCGGCUAACUCCGUG
Molecule: ribosomal RNA, 433 nt
Filed under: uncultured bacterium
Lineage: Bacteria
Description: partial 16S ribosomal RNA
Rfam family: Bacterial small subunit ribosomal RNA
Source: RNAcentral